CGUCGCAGGUCCUCCUCCCGGUGGGCCUCCGACGCGCAAAUCGUUUUUCUCGGAAACCGAUGACGACUCCCGUUACCGUUUCGCAAGUUACGAGCUCUCGAAGCCAGAACAUUCCCGCCGCGGCCGGCCAUCGUCGCCGUGCCCGGCGGUCGCCGGGGCGAAGCCCCGGGACGACGGACUUCGCGUCGCGUCCCGGCUUCCCCCACGAUCUCGGCUGGGGGCCGUUAUAAACCUGGCGAGGGGCGCUGGCGCGGUUAUUCUCCAUCCGCUCGAAACGGACGGAGUACGCGCCAAUCCCGCUCUCGCCAACGCACGGGUCACGUCGCGCCGGGCGCGCUCUCCCCGCUCGCUUGGUCACCGCAGCCGACCGCCGCCCCGCGUUCUGCGGGCUCGGCGCUCGGCGCUCGCGUCGACCGAAGCGCGCGGGUCACGGGCGCCCGUCCGCGCUCGUAUCCCACACGAACCGCGGUCGGUCGGGCGCCGUGACCGUACACCGGUCACGUUCGUCCGACCUUCCUCGGCGUCGGUUCGCCCGCACGGGCGGACCGGCGCUCGGACGCACGCGUCCCGCGACGAGUGUCCGCGCCGUCGCCGUCGCCGCCCUAUGUCGGCGGCGGCGUCGUCGCGGAGCCGUCGCGGGCCGCAGUUGUUGUAAAACCGAGAUCCCUGGUUGAUCCUGCCAGUAGUCAUAUGCUUGUCUCAAAGAUUAAGCCAUGCAUGUCUCAGUGCAAGCCGCAUUAAGGUGAAACCCGCGAAAGGCUCAUUAAAUCAGUUGUGGUUCCUUAGAUCGUACCCAAGUUACUUGGGAUAACUGUGGUAAUUCUAGAGCUAAUACAUGCCGACAGAGUUCCGACCGUCGCGGCGCCCUCGGGCGUCGCUCGCGGGAGGAACGCUUUUAUUAGAUCAAAACCGGCCCGUCGCGGCGCGCUUCGUGCGCGUCCCGAUCGCGGCCCGCGCAAAGACCUGGUGACUCUGAAUAACUUCGAGCUGAUCGCACGGUCUCCGUACCGGCGACGCAUCUUUCAAAUGUCUGCCUUAUCAACUGUCGAUGGUAGGUUCCAUGCCUACCAUGGUGGUAACGGGUAACGGGGAAUCAGGGUUCGAUUCCGGAGAGGGAGCCUGAGAAACGGCUACCACAUCCAAGGAAGGCAGCAGGCGCGCAAAUUACCCACUCCCGGAACGGGGAGGUAGUGACGAAAAAUAACGAUACGGGACUCAUCCGAGGCCCCGUAAUCGGAAUGA
Long non-coding RNA from Acyrthosiphon pisum (pea aphid), 1242 nucleotides. RefSeq lists it as uncharacterized. Lineage: Eukaryota; Metazoa; Arthropoda; Insecta; Hemiptera; Aphididae. The record is from RefSeq and is a predicted model, not a curated record. The transcript has 2 exons.